GAUGAACGCUAGCGGCAGGCUUAAUACAUGCAAGUCGAGGGGCAGCACAGGUAGCAAUACUGGGUGGCGACCGGCAAACGGGUGCGGAACACGUACACAACUUACCUUUUGGUGUGGGAUAGCCUUUGGAAACGGAGAUUAAUACCACAUAUUACAUAGAAGCUGCAUGGUUUUUAUGUUAAAGAUUUAUUGCCAGAAGAUGGGUGUGCGUAUGAUUAGGUAGUUGGUAGGGUAACGGCCUACCAAGCCAACGAUCAUUAACUGGUGUGAGAGCACGACCAGUCACACGGGCACUGAGACACGGGCCCGACUCCUACGGGAGGCAGCAGUAAGGAAUAUUGGUCAAUGGACGGAAGUCUGAACCAGCCAUGCCGCGUGGAGGAUGAAGGUCCUCUGGAUUGUAAACUUCUUUUAUAGGGGGCGAAAAAAGGCCAUUCUUGGUCGUCUGACGGUACCCUAUGAAUAAGCACCGGCUAACUCCGUG
Molecule: ribosomal RNA, 484 nt
Filed under: uncultured organism
Description: bacterial SSU rRNA
Rfam family: Bacterial small subunit ribosomal RNA
Source: RNAcentral